This 67-nucleotide transfer RNA is filed under the name Triticum aestivum (bread wheat). RNAcentral's name for it is "tRNA_LysTTT". The record is from RNAcentral. Lineage: Eukaryota; Viridiplantae; Streptophyta; Magnoliopsida; Poales; Poaceae.
CCCAUCAUGGGGCUUGAAUCCACAUCCACAAGGUUAAAAGCCUUGUGCUUUACCAACUAAGCAGUGG